Aegilops tauschii subsp. strangulata is the source of this 2170-nucleotide non-coding RNA. The record is from RefSeq and is a predicted model, not a curated record. Lineage: Eukaryota; Viridiplantae; Streptophyta; Magnoliopsida; Poales; Poaceae.
CCACCAACCGUCCACUCCAGUAGUCCCACGCCACCCACCCUGAGCCAGAUCUAGAUCGAAAUCCCCCCACCCACCAGCGGUCUCCCGUCCCCCCCUUCCUCAACCUCCUCUCCUCUGCUGUCCAUCGGAGGCCCCCGCACACAAGGGAAACUGCUGCUCGGCGUCUCCAGCAGCCAAGGACGGGCUCCCGGCCUCCGCACGGCGUCGUCUCUUCCUUCCCCAUUGCCAUCUGUCACCGUCGUCGUUCCGGUCCGGCCCUUCGCGCCGCAGGGAUGGCAGCUGCUUGGACGCGGACGACACACGAUCGAGUGGGGGAGAGGGAGACAGGAUGAUGGACGCCUAUACGGGUGUGGGGGAUCCCUGACAGCGGAUCGAGAGCAGCAUGAGCUGUAUUUGUAUGCCCGUCCGUGAUUGAAGUGUCUCUGUUGAAUACAUCUAAUCUGAACAAUUUCACAUUUGCUUCUCUGAUAAGUAAGGUCUGUUUUCAUUUACAGGUAGAAGAUAGCGACAGAGUGGGAAGGUUUGUGCAAAGUUCUUCUCCUCCGUCGCCGUCCGUGACAAAGCUGUUGGGUGCAUCCGUCCAUCAUCUUCACAGAUCUGAGUGAAGAGGGCAUCCGUCCAUCUCAAAAGAGAGCCUUGUAGCAAUGAUUCUUGGUGAAAACGCCCUGUCCUCGAUACCCCCUGGUUCAUGGUAAUUACUCGACAUUUUGGAAAUGAAACUGACAGAGUUUCGUUCCUAGAUAUUUCUUUGAGCAAAUAUUACAACUGGAACGCAGAAUUCUGAUUGCAGUCACAAGUCAUGUGGAGUUCGAACUGUUAGUGAACAUAGGUCCUACGUUUGUAGGUUAAGUGCGAGCAAUUUCUAGGAGUAUGAGACCUCAGCUUCAAUAGGUUAUCUUCGGUUGCAUUGUAGCUAAAUUCCUCAUUUAGUUUGUUUUCUUAGGCCAAUGUCGUCCAGAAAAUUCAGAAUUUGUAUACAGUUUCUAUUAAUUAUAGCCAAUUGGGUAGCGGAUUUAAUAUGGCUAGGAAACCUCUGCCCAGACCCCCUCUCACCACCCUCUUCCUCUUAACUUAAUAGGUUUACCACUUUCUGCAUAUAGGGAGCAUGUUCUUAUCAAUUUACUCAUUUCUUUUGUAGGCGAUGGCUCCACGACAUCUACAAUCAGUAUUUGCAUGUUCUUAGCAUACAAAUCUGGGAGAAUGUACUAGCUGCAUAUAUUGGUUCUUGGGUUUACUAUUAGAGCUUUUUAUCUGCAUAUAUAUAUAUACAUAGGAGUGAGAAUGCCCAGGUAUGCGACCCUAAAUUUAGUUUCACGGCUUUCUUACUCGUGGGAUUUAUCCAAUUAAUAACUAUAAUGGAUUAAUGAGAAAAAGACAAGGGAAAUUAGCUUUAUAAAAAUGAAACUAUUCAUGGUAAACAUUUGGCAGAAGAGAAUCACAAAAUGAACAACAGCCUCCCUCACGGGAAACAUCAGGUGUGGUAAAAUGCUCACUUCAAAAAUAGAAACUAGAGAUUACUUCCUAGUUUCCUUUUGCCUCGUUGCUACUGGUGUUGUCUGUUUAGGUAACCCUCUGCCUCAUGGUGUUCAGCUGGUUGGCACCAAUCUGAUAAGUAUACAUAAAGUGAAUUUGAGUUAUAUAAAUAUGCUAACUGUCUACAAGACAUCACUAACAUAGAACAAAAUGAUGUAGUCUAGAGUUCAACAUGACUUUGUUUUUUCUGCUCUUUUUCGUAAGCAUACCAAAGCGAAUCCAGCCUCAAGCCUUUGAAAGUUUGAACCAUUGAUCUGCUCUAUGCUCCCUAUCCAUUUUCACAUCAGUUAGGUGCAUCGACAUUGACAUCUACACGGGGCUGGGGUGGCGGCGUUGACGGCAUCAACAUCGACACGGGGCUGCUGCAGCGAUGACGACGGCAUCCUCAAGGUGCUGUGGCACCGACCACGACGACGACAACAUCAUCACGGUGCUGCGGCGGCGGCGACACCGACGACAUCAACACGGGCUUGUGGAGGUGCCGACGCUGACGACCUAUACGCGUGGCGUAUAUUGUAUAUAUAUGUGUGUGUAUUAAUUAUCUAUAUCAAAUAUGUAUUAUUGACUGUAUGCAAAACAUGUACUAUUAUGUAAUGCAUGUUACAUGAGUACUAUGAAAUGUAUGUCUAAAGUGGAA